Molecule: small RNA, 144 nt
Filed under: Flavobacterium segetis
Lineage: Bacteria; Pseudomonadati; Bacteroidota; Flavobacteriia; Flavobacteriales; Flavobacteriaceae
Description: Flavo-1 RNA
Rfam family: Flavo-1 RNA
Source: RNAcentral
GCCUAGCCCAGAUAGCAGUGAAAAGCAUUUUAUAAAGAAAGACUGAUUUUGUUGCUAUAAAAAAGCGCCCAACGGAAGCUCUUUUUAUAGCUUACAAAAUUGACUUUUAUUUGUAAAAUCUUGCAACGAAUAGCUGGAAAUAGC